This 253-nucleotide ribosomal RNA is filed under the name uncultured bacterium. RNAcentral describes it as "partial 16S ribosomal RNA". It matches the Rfam family "Bacterial small subunit ribosomal RNA", at positions 524 to 776 of the family's 1533-position model. The record is from RNAcentral.
UACGUAGGGGGCGAGCGUUGUCCGGAUUUACUGGGCGUAAAGAGCGCGUAGGCGGAUGUUUAAGUGUGGCCUCAAAGCCCCCGGCUCAACCGGGGAUCUGGGUUGCAAACUGGGCAUCUUGAGGGGGAUAGAGGAGAGUGGAAUUCCUGGUGUAGCGGUGAAAUGCGUAGAUAUCAGGAGGAACCACCGUGGCGAAGGCGGCUCUCUGGGUCCGCCCUGACGCUGAGGCGCGAAAGCGUGGGGAGCGAACGGG